CCCUUAGAUGUUCUGGGCUGCACGCGCGCUACACUGUCGGAUUCAGCGAGUCAUAUCCUUAACCGAAAGGUUUGGGUAAUCUUUUGAAAGUCCGACGUGAUGGGGAUUGAUCAUUGCAAUUAUUGAUCAUGAACGAGGAAUUCCUAGUAAGCGCGAGUCAUCAGCUCGCGUUGAUUACGUCCCUGCCCUUUGUACACGCCGCCCGUCGCUACUACCGAUUGAAUGGUUUAGUGAGAUCUUCGGAUUGGCGCCUACGCGGCUUCUCUGAGGCCACGCUGGAUGCCGAAAAGUUGCUCAAACUGUAUCAUUUAGAGGAAGUAAAAGUCGUAACA
This 332-nucleotide ribosomal RNA is filed under the name uncultured eukaryote. RNAcentral's name for it is "partial 18S ribosomal RNA". It matches the Rfam family "Eukaryotic small subunit ribosomal RNA", at positions 1470 to 1796 of the family's 1831-position model. The record is from RNAcentral.